This 525-nucleotide ribosomal RNA is filed under the name uncultured bacterium. RNAcentral's name for it is "bacterial SSU rRNA". It matches the Rfam family "Bacterial small subunit ribosomal RNA", at positions 791 to 1315 of the family's 1533-position model. The record is from RNAcentral.
UAGUCCACGCCCUAAACGAUGGAUACUAGUUGUCGGGAAUCCUAAUUUUCUCGGUAACGUAGCUAACGCGUUAAGUAUCCCGCCUGGGGAAUACGGUCGCAAGAUUAAAACUCAAAGGAAUUGACGGGGGCCCGCACAAGCGGUGGAGCAUGUGGUUUAAUUCGAUGCUACGCGAAGAACCUUACCCAGGCUUGACAUCCCGCGCUACCCUAUGAAAGUAGGGGUUCCCUUCGGGGACGCGGUGACAGGUGCUGCAUGGCUGUCGUCAGCUCGUGUUGUGAGAUGUUGGGUUAAGUCCCGCAACGAGCGCAACCCUCGUCGCUAGUUACCAUCAUUAAGUUGGGCACUCUAGCGAGACCGCUGGGCCAUAAGCCAGAGGAAGGUGGGGAUGACGUCAAGUCCGCAUGGCCCUUAUGCCUGGGGCUACACACGUGCUACAAUAGAGAGGACAAAGCGUUGCUAACUCGCAAGAGUGUGCUAAUCGCAAAAACCUUUUUUCAGUUCGGAUUGGAGUCUGCAACUCGA